This 268-nucleotide ribosomal RNA is filed under the name uncultured bacterium. Its description in RNAcentral is "partial 16S ribosomal RNA". It matches the Rfam family "Bacterial small subunit ribosomal RNA", at positions 88 to 354 of the family's 1533-position model. The record is from RNAcentral.
AUGGCGACCGGCGCACGGGUGAGUAACGCGUAUCCAACCUGCCCUUUACUAUGGGUCAGCCCGUCGAAAGGCGGAUUAAUACCGUAUGUUGUCAUGUUGAUGCAUAUUUUCAUGACCAAAGGCUUCGGCCGGUAAAGGAUGGGGAUGCGUCUGAUUAGCUUGCCGGCGGGGUAACGGCCCACCGGGGCGACGAUCAGUAGGGGUUCUGAGAGGAAGGUCCCCCACAUUGGAACUGAGACACGGUCCAAACUCCUACGGAAGGCAGCAG